This is a small nucleolar RNA of Oryctolagus cuniculus (rabbit), 121 nucleotides long. Lineage: Eukaryota; Metazoa; Chordata; Mammalia; Lagomorpha; Leporidae. The record is from Ensembl.
AUUGCUUGAAAGUAGCUGUGGCUGUGGCCAUGAGUGAGAUUUGGUGCCCAGAGUCACCAGGGGCCUCCACUUGCUGCCCACUGCUUCAGUGUAGGGAAGUAAAACCCAAGCCCCAACAAGU